Molecule: ribosomal RNA, 465 nt
Filed under: uncultured bacterium
Lineage: Bacteria
Description: partial 16S ribosomal RNA
Rfam family: Bacterial small subunit ribosomal RNA
Source: RNAcentral
CCUACGGGUGGCAGCAGUGGGGAAUAUUGCGCAAUGGGCGAAAGCCUGACGCAGCGACGCCGCGUGAGGGAUGAAGGUCUUCGGAUCGUAAACCUCUGUUAGCAGGGAAGAACGGUCACUGUGCUAAUCAGCAGUGAAUUGACGGUACCUGCAAAGGAAGCACCGGCUAACUCCGUGCCAGCAGCCGCGGCAAUACGGAGGGUGCGAGCGUUAAUCGGUAUUACUGGGCGUAAAGCGCUCGUAGGCGGUAUGUCAAGUCAAGGGGGAAAUCCCCGCGCUCAACGUGGGAACUGCCUUUGAAACUGGGAAACUGGAGUGUGUGAGAGGAUAGUGGAAUUCCAGGUGUAGGAGUGAAAUCCGGAGAUAUCUGGAGGAACAUCAGUGGCGAAGGCGACUAUCUGGAACAUAACUGACGCUGAGGAGCGAAAGCGUGGGGAGCAAACAGGAUUAGAUACCCCGGUAGUC